Sus scrofa (pig) is the source of this 1055-nucleotide long non-coding RNA. RefSeq lists it as uncharacterized. NCBI's taxonomy places the organism in Eukaryota, Metazoa, Chordata, Mammalia, Artiodactyla, Suidae. The record is from RefSeq and is a predicted model, not a curated record.
GCCUCUCCGGGCGGUGCGCGGGCUCAGUGACCGAGAAACGCGCGCUCACCGAGGCCCCGCCCCUCCAGGGACUUCCGGCGGGAGGGCCCGAGGCGGCCCCUGCCCCGGCUCCUUUCCGGUGCAAAGCUUCCCGGGGUCGGGCGGGGCAGGCCCGCGGGGAUGAGCGGACGGGGUUCAAGACUGAACAGGAAGAGCUGAACAUAAGUGUGUCGCUCAGCAAACGUUUGGUGAAUGACAAAUCGUUGGAUGUUUGCUUUACGUCCACCUUCCAAGACCCCGUUGUUUCCAAAACGACAACCGGCACAUAGCCUGGCGUGCUGCCAAGAAAUGCGGAGCAGAGACCAUGGAGAGCGUACGGUGGCUGAGGAAACUGGUUCACGAGCUCUCCACUCGUCAGCGAAGGAAGAGACUACCCCUUCUGGACCCGGAGAAAUAAAGCAUUUCUGGAUGCCAAUCCAGUGCUCUCUCCAUAACCUUUAUUCAAAAAGCAUUUGAGAACCAAAGAGCUGUACGGGUGGGUACCCAAGGAGUAGAUGCUAAACAAAUGAAGUUUCUGUAGGAAGCAGCACGAUAAGAAGGAACCGCACAGACUCGAGAGAUUUCAGUUCAUACCGCGGUUUGGCGCUUAGGAACUGAGUCAUCAUAAGAAAACCUACUUGCUAGUGCCAGUUUUCUAGGCUGCUUUUGCUUAAAAGUAUAUUAUUCUACUUUAUCUCCAAGACAAGAACUCUUACUGGUUUGUAGUCACUUCCAAGAAAUCUGUAAGAGGUCUGCAGUACAUACACUAUGUUCAUUUAUCUUAACUUUAAAGUUAUUUAAAAUAAUGUACUAAAUUUCCUGUUACUCUAAUAACAUUUGAUCUAUUCUUAACAUAAUGGCACAUGGCCUUGCCUUCAUGGGACAGAGAAUAUAAAACCUUAACUACAACGUUUUAUACAUAAUAGCUUUGAAAAGAUAUAUUGGAAUGAGAAUCUAGAGGCAGGAACAAUUAGUAGAACUCUGAAAUCCCAACUUACACGCUAUUAGUAAAUAAAUAUAUUGGUUGAAAAUAUAAA